GAUCAGGUGGCCGAGCGGUUAAGGCGAUGGACUGCUAAUCCAUUGUGGUUUUCCCGUGUUAGUGCGUAUCUUAUCCUGAUCG
Angiostrongylus cantonensis (rat lungworm) is the source of this 82-nucleotide non-coding RNA. Lineage: Eukaryota; Metazoa; Nematoda; Chromadorea; Rhabditida; Metastrongylidae. The record is from Rfam.